RNAcentral lists this ribosomal RNA (588 nucleotides) under Novosphingobium sp. IPPW-18. RNAcentral describes it as "bacterial SSU rRNA". It matches the Rfam family "Bacterial small subunit ribosomal RNA", at positions 55 to 690 of the family's 1533-position model. Lineage: Bacteria; Pseudomonadati; Pseudomonadota; Alphaproteobacteria; Sphingomonadales; Sphingomonadaceae. The record is from RNAcentral.
AUGCAGUCGAACGAACCCUUCGGGGUUAGUGGCGCACGGGUGCGUAACGCGUGGGAAUCUGCCCUUUGCUUCGGAAUAACAGUUAGAAAUGACUGCUAAUACCGGAUGAUGUCUUCGGACCAAAGAUUUAUCGGCAAAGGAUGAGCCCGCGUAGGAUUAGGUAGUUGGUGGGGUAAAGGCCUACCAAGCCGACGAUCCUUAGCUGGUCUGAGAGGAUGAUCAGCCACACUGGGACUGAGACACGGCCCAGACUCCUACGGGAGGCAGCAGUGGGGAAUAUUGGACAAUGGACGCAAGUCUGAUCCAGCAAUGCCGCGUGAGUGAUGAAGGCCUUAGGGUUGUAAAGCUCUUUUACCAGGGAUGAUAAUGACAGUACCUGGAGAAUAAGCUCCGGCUAACUCCGUGCCAGCAGCCGCGGUAAUACGGAGGGAGCUAGCGUUGUUCGGAAUUACUGGGCGUAAAGCGCACGUAGGCGGUUACUCAAGUCAGAGGUGAAAGCCCGGGGCUCAACCCCGGAACUGCCUUUGAAACUAGGUAACUAGAAUCCUGGAGAGGUGAGUGGAAUUCCGAGUGUAUAGGUGAAAUUCG